Molecule: ribosomal RNA, 255 nt
Filed under: uncultured bacterium
Lineage: Bacteria
Description: partial 16S ribosomal RNA
Rfam family: Bacterial small subunit ribosomal RNA
Source: RNAcentral
UACGUAGGGGGGCUAGCGUUGUCCGGAAUCAUUGGGCGUAAAGAGCGUGUAGGCGGCCCGGUAAGUCCGCUGUGAAAGUCGGGGGCUCAACCCUCGAAUGCCGGUGGAUACUGUCGGGCUAGAGUGCGGAAGAGGCGAGUGGAAUUCCUGGUGUAGCGGUGAAAUGCGCAGAUAUCAGGAGGAACACCUAUUUGCGAAGGCAGCUCGCUGGGACGUUUACUGACGCUGAGACGCGAAAGCGUGGGAGCAAACAGG